RNAcentral lists this unclassified non-coding RNA (1496 nucleotides) under Portunus trituberculatus (swimming crab). RNAcentral describes it as "transcriptional adapter 2-beta-like, transcript variant X1". The record is from RNAcentral. Lineage: Eukaryota; Metazoa; Arthropoda; Malacostraca; Decapoda; Portunidae.
CAAUGUUGAUGACGUCACGUGGGAACUGAAGCAAAAUGGCGGAUACGUUUGCGAAGUACCACUGUAAUUACUGCGAGGAGGAUGUCAACGGGCUGAGGGUGAGGUGUCUGGAGUGCGAGGACUUCGAUCUCUGUUUACAGUGCUUUUCCUGCGGUGCGGAAAUUGGCAAGCACAAGAGAAGCCACGGGUAUCAAUUUAUGGCCGGUGUUUUCCAGGACACAGGAAACUUUAGCAUUUUCCCUGGUCAAGGCCACUGGACAGCACGUGAGGAGGUCAGGCUAUUGGAUGCUAUUGAGCAGUAUGGCUAUGGCAACUGGGAGGACAUUGCCCGUCACAUUGAGACACGCACGCCUGAAGAUGCGAGGAACAAGUACAUCAGCAGUUACAUAGAAGGGAACAUAGGCCGUGUUUCCUGGAAGCCUGCCAUGGAGAGAUUACAGCUGCCCAUUGAACACACCACCACCGACACUGGCCCACUCUCCCCAACACUUGGCUCCUCCCUCCCCACACAGCCACUCUCUUCCGAGGAAAACACCAUUCUUGGAUACAUGCCUCACAGAGAUGACUUUGAGCGGGAGUGGGACAAUGAUGCUGAGACCACAAUUGCACCUCUAUUCAUACACCCUGUGGAUGAUGAGGAAGUAGACAUGGCACUCAAGUUAGCACAGGUGGACAUGUACAUGCGAAGACUGCGUGAACGUUCCCGAAGAAAAAGAGUUGUGAGAGACUUCCAGAUAGUGCCACAGUUCUUCAAGAAGGAGAAAGAGAAAGUACAAGUUCCCCCAAAAAAGAAGAGCAAAGAUGACAGAGACAGUUUAGCAGAAAAGUUACGGCCCGUCAGUCAGUUCCAGACAGCGAGUGAACACAACAACCUCAUAUCAUCAAUGGUGCGUGAGAGGGAACUCAGAACCAGAAUAAAGGAGUUGCUGAGGUAUAGAAGAAACGGAAUCAGGCACGUUGAAGAAUGCCAUGAGUUUGAGGUAGCCAGAGCGCGAAGAGACAAAAAGAAAGAGAACAAAAAGAAAGCAGCCAGCCUGCCUCAGACUCCAACGACUCAAAUGGACCUGUCCGCAAAGUCAAAAGAAGCUCUAGACAAGGAAGUGAAGAAACGACGCAAGAAGUCCGAAAUGUUUAGCAGAAAAAAAAUUCACGCCUCUCGAUACUGGAGGUGGAAAAUGGCUCAGCGCGAGCUUGAGCGGCAGCGUGCUGAACGGGAGCGACGGCACGAACAACUGGGGGGGCGGGAGCAGCACAGCACAGGGGGGCCCGGGGGGGGCAGCCGGGGCGAGUGAUGACCCAGUCCCCAUCUCCUCACUCCCAGGAUACCAUCUCCUGUCCCAGAGGGAGAGGAAGCUGUGUUCUGCCACGAAUAUCAAACCAUCUCAGUACAUAGCUUACAAGGCAGUUUUACUGAAGGAUGAAGGUGACAAGCAGCAGUCUGGUGUGGGGCCGUCCACCCGGCGCGGGGCCUGUACUCCUCAGGGCCUCGAUUCACA